UCCACGCCCUAAACGAUGUCAACUAGGUGUAUGGGAGUUUAACUCCUGUGUAUCGAAGCUAACGCGAUAAGUUGACCGCCUGGGGAGUACGGCCGCAAGGCUAAAACUCAAAUGAAUUGACGGGGGCCCGCACAAGCGGUGGAGCAUGUGGUUUAAUUCGAUGCAACGCGAAGAACCUUACCUGGUCUUGACAUGUAGUGAACUUUCCAGAGAUGGAUUGGUGCUUUCGAGAA
Molecule: ribosomal RNA, 233 nt
Filed under: uncultured bacterium
Lineage: Bacteria
Description: partial 16S ribosomal RNA
Rfam family: Bacterial small subunit ribosomal RNA
Source: RNAcentral